Molecule: long non-coding RNA, 743 nt
Organism: Fukomys damarensis (Damara mole-rat)
Lineage: Eukaryota; Metazoa; Chordata; Mammalia; Rodentia; Bathyergidae
Exons: 3
Source: RefSeq, a predicted model, not a curated record
CCCGGCCUGUAAUUCCUUUUUUAAUGCCCUAAAGAAUGAAUAAAUAGAGAAGAGGAAGAACUUUCGGCAAGACACACUUAAGACAUUCGUUGUGAGAUAACUAUGAUCUGAAACUGAGAGUCACUUCAAAAAUCUAGGAAUUUUCUGGAUGUCACGAAGCAAGAAAGUGAUGGAGACAUUCAUUAUACUCAGCAUUUCUCCACCAGGAAGGAGCCGUAACCAGCCUGGGCUCACAAUGGAGCUGGUAAAGGCAGCCUCGGUGUAAGACAGAGCUGGAAUCUUCUUUGAGCUACCUGAACGUUUCAUCCCUCCACGCUGUUUCUGUCUCAGAACUCUUUUUUUCUCUCCUUGCCAUUGAGCACCUGGGGUCCUGUCCCAAAGUCAGCAAAGCAAUGGCACAUCUCCCCCGGAGGAGAGAUGACCAUAUGCCACCUGCACAUAAAGCUGGACAUGGCCCUCAAGUCUACGACUCUGUGCUAUGGGGGGGUCUGAUUCAUAAGGGUGAUGGAAGAAGGUGAGGCAACUCCUUCUCUCUUUGGGUUGAACUGUUUUGAUGAAUAGCCUAUCUUCCACAGACAACACAAAACACCACCUCCUGAUAUCACAUUCAGUCCUUCUUGUAUUCCCUACCUUGCCUUCUGAAAAACUUCUUGGAAUGAUUUUGAAUGUUAUGAUCUUCCUUUCCUAGAGGCUAGUAAUAUUCUGCACAUUGCCCUGUUGGUUUUAUCAAUAGUAAAUUUACC